This 324-nucleotide ribosomal RNA is filed under the name Penicillium sp. SW249. Its description in RNAcentral is "LSU rRNA". It matches the Rfam family "Eukaryotic large subunit ribosomal RNA", at positions 331 to 670 of the family's 3401-position model. The record is from RNAcentral. Lineage: Eukaryota; Fungi; Ascomycota; Eurotiomycetes; Eurotiales; Aspergillaceae.
AGACCGAUAGCGAACAAGUAGAGUGAUCGAAAGAUGAAAAGCACUUUGAAAAGAGAGUUAAACAGCACGUGAAAUUGUUGAAAGGGAAGCGCUUGCGACCAGACUCGCCCACGGGGUUCAGCCGGCAUUCGUGCCGGUGUACUUCCCCGCGGGCGGGCCAGCGUCGGUUUGGGCGGCCGGUCAAAGGCCCUUGGAAUGUAACGCCCCCCGGGGCGUCUUAUAGCCAAGGGUGCCAUGCGGCCAGCCCGGAACCGAGGAACGCGCUUCGGCUUCGGAACGCUGGCAUAAUGGUCGUAAGCAACCCGUCUUGAAACACGGACCAAG